UACGUAGGGUGCGAGCGUUGUCCGGAAUUAUUGGGCGUAAAGAGCUUGUAGGCGGUUUGUCGCGUCUGCCGUGAAAAUCCGGGGCUCAACCCCGGACUUGCGGUGGGUACGGGCAGACUAGAGUGUGGUAGGGGAGACUGGAAUUCCUGGUGUAGCGGUGAAAUGCGUAGAGAUGCGGAGGAACACCGAUGGCGAAGGCAGCCCCCUGGGCUAACACUGACGCUGAGGCACGAAAGCGUGGGGAGCAAACAGG
This 253-nucleotide ribosomal RNA is filed under the name uncultured bacterium. RNAcentral's name for it is "partial 16S ribosomal RNA". It matches the Rfam family "Bacterial small subunit ribosomal RNA", at positions 524 to 776 of the family's 1533-position model. The record is from RNAcentral.